This 215-nucleotide ribosomal RNA is filed under the name Scutellospora sp. RNAcentral's name for it is "partial small subunit ribosomal RNA". The stretch from base 41 to 215 matches the Rfam family "Eukaryotic small subunit ribosomal RNA", at positions 686 to 863 of the family's 1831-position model. The record is from RNAcentral. Lineage: Eukaryota; Fungi; Glomeromycota; Glomeromycetes; Diversisporales; Gigasporaceae.
GGAUUCUAUCGUUGGUCGGGCUAUCCAGUCUGUACUAGCGUGUAGAAUUCCUACCUUCUGGGGAACCAUCAUGUUAUUAAUUUAGCGUGGUGGGAAACCAGGACCUUUACCUUGAAAAAAUUAGAGUGUUCAAAGCAGGCUUACGUCUGAAUACAUUAGCAUGGAAUAAUAAAAUAGGACGGUGGUCCUGUUUUGUUGGUUUCUGAAUCACCGUA